Molecule: non-coding RNA, 74 nt
Organism: Camelus ferus (Wild Bactrian camel)
Lineage: Eukaryota; Metazoa; Chordata; Mammalia; Artiodactyla; Camelidae
Source: Rfam
GGAGGGAACAGCCCAAGUGGUAGAGCGCAUGCUUAGCAUGCAUGAGGUCCUGGGUUCAAUCCCCAGUACUUCCA